Molecule: transfer RNA, 64 nt
Filed under: unidentified
Description: Capodemus sinuatus tRNA-Leu
Source: RNAcentral
ACUAUUUUGGCAGAUAAAGUGCAAUAAGUUUAGAAUUUAUUUAUGUAAUUCAUUACAAAUAGUA